Molecule: ribosomal RNA, 468 nt
Filed under: uncultured bacterium
Lineage: Bacteria
Description: partial 16S ribosomal RNA
Rfam family: Bacterial small subunit ribosomal RNA
Source: RNAcentral
GACGAACGCUGGCGGCGUGCUUAACACAUGCAAGUCGAACGGAAAGGCCCUGCUUUUGUGGGGUGCUCGAGUGGCGAACGGGGGAGUAACACGUGAGUAACCUGCCCUUGACUUUGGGAUAACUUCAGGAAACUGGGGCUAAUACCGGAUAGGAGCUCCUGCUGCAUGGUGGGGGUUGGAAAGUUUCGGCGGUUGGGGAUGGACUCGCGGCUUAUCAGCUUGUUGGUGGGGUAGUGGCUUACCAAGGCUUUGACGGGUAGCCGGCCUGAGAGGGUGACCGGCCACAUUGGGACUGAGCUACGGCCCAGACUCCUACGGGAGGCAGCAGUGGGGAAUAUUGCACAAUGGGCGGAAGCCUGAUGCAGCAACGCCGCGUGCGGGAUGACGGCCUUCGGGUUGUAAACCGCUUUCGCCUGUGACGAAGCGUGAGUGACGGUAAUGGGUAAAGAAGCACCGGCUAACUACGUG